GCCGCCCUCACCAGCGUCAUCUCUGCGCUUCUCAUCGUCCUUCCCCUUUCAAUUCAAUCGAGUAACCCUCAUCUCUGCGCUAUAUACUGAGCUUAAUGAAUAUUUUUUCUUUGAUUCGUCACCAAUUCACGCUACCUGUACAAACUCGCGCGCCUUCUCCUUCGAUUCGUCGCCGCUGCUCAUCUCUUCUUCAAGGGUUUUCACCUUCGAUUCGUCGUCGCUCAUCUCUUGUUCACCGUUGCCAUUCAUCACCGCGCUCACCAAUGUCAAAGAAACUGUAUGCUCUCUAGCAACCUCUUCUCUGCUCUACUGUGAAGCAUCAAGGUUUCCAAUGAGGCAAAGCAUCGAUCCCUAACAAGCGAGGUAAGCGCCCGAUGAUGAUGAUGGUUCUGUGAAAUUUGGGAG
Arachis ipaensis is the source of this 405-nucleotide non-coding RNA. Lineage: Eukaryota; Viridiplantae; Streptophyta; Magnoliopsida; Fabales; Fabaceae. The record is from RefSeq and is a predicted model, not a curated record.